AUGGAGGAUCGCGGCGAUGCCGAACCGACCGCCGGCUGCAGCAGUCUGGGCCCGGGCGGCGUUCGCAGCGGUGGCGGCGCUCCCUCGUGGGCCCCUGAGGACGCCUGGAUGGGCACCCACCCUAAGUACUUAGAAAUGAUGGAAUUAGAUAUAGGAGAUGCCACCCAAGUCUAUAUAGCAUUCUUGGUUUACCUGGACCUCAUGGAGAGUAAAAGUUGGCAUGAAGUAAGCUGUGUGGGAUUACCAGAACUCCAGCUCAUCUGCCUUGUUGGUACAGAGCUAGAAGGGGAAGGGUUACAGACUGUGGUGCCUGUACCCAUCACUGCUUCCCUCAGCCAUAACAGGCUGUGCAGAGCAUUUAUCUAAAUAUGGAAUGGUGCACCACUAUGGACAGGACUGGAAGAAGAUAAAAUUUUCUUUCCAGUCAAUUCUGUUGCAUCUUCUCAUGAACACUGGGUACUGUUCUUAGAGUGGCAAGACUGGGCAGCAAAAAGAAAUGAUAUCGAGUUGCAGAGCUUGCCAAAGUGGAAAUCAAUCACUGCAAGGCCUUUUAAGGUCACGAGGCCCAGGUCGCAAUGCUCUGGACACUGGCUCUGCCUGUGACCUCAGGUGAACCACAAAAUGAUGGUCAGCAGCUCGUACAGCCCUUGGGAGGCAGGCGGUGUAGUGGAAAGAGCACAGGCUUCAGCAGCUCCAGACUGGAUGUCCUGCCCUGACACUUAUUUAUGGGAGACCCUGGGCACAGAAGAAAGGCCAUAUGAGGACACAGUGUAAAGGCAGCUGUCUUCCAGCCAGGAAGAGACGCCUCACCAGAAACUGAAUUUUCCUGAACCAUGAUUUGGGUCUUCUAGUGUCCAGAACUGUGAGAAAAUAAAUUUCAGUUGUUUAAGCCACCCCAUCUGUGGUAGUUUGUUAUGGCAGCCCGAGCAGAUGACUACGAUGGUAACUCAUGGAAAGGGCUUUGGUUCAACGCCUGGCACAAGGUAGAGAUUCGCUAAGUGUAGCUGUUACUAUUAUUAUUGCUUCUAAUAAAACACCCACCUUUCUAGGAGAGAGAGAGAAUUCUGGAAACUCUAAUACCAAACAGUCUGCAAAUCCACUUUAAGCUUCUGAUGGGAAAUUGAGAGCAUCAGAAAGAAAGCAAACCACAUUCACUGAAAUUUUCCAAUCCUAUUUCUGUAUAUAAGUCAUAAUGGUUUGUGUCUAAUAACAUGCCUGCAUCUUCCUUCUGAGGAACUUAAUGUGUUUACAUCCUGAGGAUGAGUUAACGGAACAUCUUAGAUGGCCCGGUGCCUGACACUAGGACGGUGCACAUGAGGCACUACAAAAAUAAGGUGCUGUGUCAGGCACUAGGGAUAUAAAUGUGAGCAGGAAAGACAUGAAUGACCCUGUCCUCCCAGAGUGUCCUGCCCAUAAGGAAAGACAGCAAUUAAAUCUGGCUUUACAAGAAAUAUACCAUCACAAUAUGGGGAAACCAAUGGAAUAGAAGAAAGGAAGACAGCUGGGCCAAUCUUCAUGUAAACACACUAACGACAGACUCAAGGUGAUGUGACCACAUACAUAGCUUGAAGAUCUUCUGUGUUAAUCUGGGCGAGAGAAUAUGUUUCAUGAAAGGACCUGGAGAGCUGUACUCGUGCUGGGCCAUUCCUUGCUUCUCCCGAGUCUUGUGAUUGCUGGUUUCAUGAAAUUAUAUGUAAAGCAUGAUACUGGCCUCACCCUCAAUGUUUCCAGUUUCUCCAGCAUGUGCAGAGCUCUCCUGACUCUGGACUCAGAGCAUCCAGAGGACUAGACUUUCCCACUCAUGGGACCCUGCGUACACUGUCUCGUGCCAUGUCUCGAGUCAUUACCCUACAUCAAUCAUCGUUCUGGGAAGAUGGGAGCCAGUUGGUGGUAAUAGUGGGUGCCUUGCCAAGGAGUUUGGAGGUUGUAAGUUACUUGGUAAAGGAGAUCCAACCCUGGUGUUUAACUGUGAACAGUGAGACAACAUCCUUGUCCUCGUAGACCUUACAUUCUCUUGGGGGCAGUAACAGAAAAAGAAAGAAAAAAGUUCCAUGAAGAAAAUAAAACAAGAUGAUGAUGCGACAGUGAGUGCAGAAGAGUGGACAAGCUAUUUUAGCAGGAUUGACCAGGGAAAUCCUCUCUCAGAGGUGACAGCCUGAGAGUUGGAUGAUGAGAAAGUUAUGGGGAUCAAGAAAACAAAACAAACAAAACCCCCAAACAAGAACGAGAAUAAUCAUUGAUGAAGGAGAGCAAUAAGAUUCAGUAUGAAGACACUUAGAGCAGGAAGGGACCUGCUCCAUCUGCAAGUCUGUCUCACUCAUUUCCUGUCUCCAGAAAGGAAACUGAAGCCAGAGAGAUAAAGAGGCUGACGCAAAGUCACAAAGCUAAUUAAUAGCAUAGUCAGAAAGAGACUCUUAACCUCUACUUCCAACUUCAUCCCCUACUGCGUAAGUCUCUCUUAACAUCUUGAAUCUCAUUUUCUUCUUAGUAAAAUGGGUUAUUGUGAGAAAUUCAAAAUGUAACAUAGACAAGGUGUUCAAAAUGUCAGGUAUUUCCAUUACUGGAUUUGUUUUAAUCCUGUUACAGUGUACUCCUCAAGUAGUUAACAAUGUUAUUACUUUAGUAAUACAAAAGCAUAAUAUAAAUAUUUAGUAACUUGGUAAUACAAAAAGCAUGAGAGAGGCAAUGAGCAUUCAACUCCUGAUUAUUUUAGUCACCGAUGCGUGGGUUAAGUCUCAGCCCGGGGCCUCUGCUGUCAACAUCAAGCACCACCUGCCAUCUGCCUGGAGGCAGCUACUGGAACCGCUGUUGGGGAAGAGAUAACCAGCCCCCUACACUGCUGGCCUUGCAAGCCCCACCUUAUUAAGUGGUGGCAAGUAUCACAGUCCUAAGAUGCUUCUGAGGAGAGAAAAAUGAGGCUGUGGACUUCCCAAUAGACACAGCUGUCAUCAAGCUCUUUACGGAAAGCUGCUGUAGACAGGGGCUGAGAAGAAGAUGAAGGCUUUAACAGGAUGUAAAAGUUGAAGUGAUAAAAAGGGUGCACUAAAAGCACAUGGCACAGGAAAGGCUUUUCUACAUCCAGAUUGAGAAUCAGACCUGCAUUUCGUUACUCGGCAUUUUGUAUUGUACCCCCUCCCCCAACACACCUCUGCCCUUUGAGCUGGUGUUUUUGUAAAUAUUUGGAUAGGACAAAGAAUAUAAUAAACAGGGUCAUGGCUUUGCCAGAGUGACAGUCACUGUUGGAAUAUACAUACUGGCUGUCCUUAACUUCUCCAUGUCACUUGAUUUUUCUUAUCACACUUUUGGGGUUUAACCCAGGGGCUCGGACCCCAAGCCCAUGCUGUAGCAUUCUGUUGUGUUGUAUCUGAGUUUGGUGAUGAUGGAGCCACCCGUGUAAUUAUCAUUAAUCAAUAGUUUGAUAUGACUAUCGCAUGAUUGCCAGAGUGACAAUGAAAAUGAGGCCUUGCACAACUGUGGGUUGCAUGUGAAAGAGUGACCUGAGAGCCAUGUCUGAGCCUCACUGCCCACUGUCAUUACCUCACUCUUCCAUCCCCACCUGGCCAGGGCUAGGACCCUCUUCCUAGACUGCAGCACCCUCACCUCCCAUCAUUCUGAACAGCAGAGAGUCCCAUCAGGAUAAUGCCCCAUUCACUUGUCAGCCCUCCCGUGCUCACCAAGGGCCCUGACAGUGGACACAGUGGCAUACAUGAAGCUGCAGAGGCAGAGGGUCCAAGUCUUUGCCCCAACUCUAGCAGGUCUACAUUCCAGAUCUUGCUCUACCACUUAAUUUCUUCACUAUGAGCUUGGAAAAAUUAGUUCCUUUCUCUGAACCUCCAUUUCCUCAGAUGUGAGGCUGGAAUAUGUCUAUCUCAUUGGGGUCUAAGAAUUUUAAAAAAUCACAUUAUUGUAUAUAAAAAUGCUUUGAAAAAUAGAAAGCACUACUCAAGCACAGCUAUUAUUCAAUAGUCUACAUACACCACAUGGUACUUUUGUGGAAAAAAUAAAAUCUAAUAAAAAAUAAAUUAUAUUCACAUCACUUUAUUCAUUCAUCCAUCCAUCCAUAUAUAUACAUUCAUUCUUUCAACAAAGUUUUAUUAGACAACCAGUCUGGGCCAAGCACUGUGUUGGAGCUAGGUAUAUAUAUGAUUGUGAACAGCUCAGAUAUUAUUACUUUUAUUAGUCAGUGUUCUCCAGAGAAACAGAACCAAAAGGAUGUAUAUAUCUGUAGAAAGAGAUUCAUUAGAAGGAAUUGGCUCAUGUGAUCAUGAAGGUGGGCAAGUCCCAAGACCUGCUGGAUGAGUCAGCAAGUUGGAAACCCAGGAGAGCCAAUAGUCAAUGGUUUAGUUCCAGUCUGAGUUUGAAGGUCUGAGACCCAGGAGAGCUGAUGGUGUAGUACCUGUCCAAAGAUCAGAAGGUUCAAGACUCAGGAAGAGCCAAUAUUGCAGUUUGAGUCCAAAGGCAGUAAAAAAGCCAGUGUCCCACUUCAGAGGCAGUCUGGCAGAAAGAAUUCUCUCUUACCUGGGGAGAUCAGUCUAUUUGAUCUAUUCAGACCUUCAACUGAUUGGAUGCAGCCUGCCACAUUAGGAAGGACAAUCUGCUUUACUCAGUCUAUCAACUUAAAUGUUAAGAUCAUCCGAAAACACCCUCACUGAAACACCCAGAAUAAUGUUUGAUAAAAUAUCUGGGCACCCUGUGGCCUAAUCAAGUUGAAACAUAAAACUAGCCAUCACUUUCCUCAUGGAGCUUACCAUCUAUUUGGGAGAAGAAGACACAGUAAAACAAUUGUCAUGCAAAUACUUUAGUAAUUACAAAGCAUGCUAAGUGCCGUGAAGGAAAAAGUGCAGGCUGCCAGGAGUGAGGCAGAUGAAUAUGAAAUGUAAGUCGAGUUGAUGGGCUUUGGGCAAGUGCCUUUCAGGCAGCAGACGUGCAUAGGGGAAGACUUCAAGAUAGAAGAGCACUUGGCAAAUUCAAAGAUCCAAAAGGCCAGUGUGGCUGGAACAUGGGAAAGAAGAGGGAUUAUGUUGCCAAAUGCGAGCUGGCUGAGUGAGAGUCACAGACAACUCCUAGUUUCUAUGAUGACAAGGCUGGGAAGUUUGAGGCUAGUAGAGAGAGUGCAAAAUAUAAGUUGCUGGACUGAGAAAAUGACCUUACUAAAGCAAAGUAGUAAUAUGGUUGUGUGGUCCAUUUAAGUUGAGAGGACGAAUUCAUGAAGAUUCUAAUCUCUUGGGUGUUAAGAUUUUUUAUAGUAUUUUGUUCAACAUUUUAAUGCAGAAAUAUAAGUUAAUUUUAACAUUGCUGUGAUUUUCUAUUUCAUAUUGUUUUAUAUGGACAUUUCUAGCAGUGUGUAUUCCAUAACCUUGUUAUUUUUAAUAGCUGGGUAGUAUUCCCCCAUGAUUUCCAUCAUGGUAUUUCUGGCCCUUCUACACACUUGUGUGGUUUUUA
This is an RNA transcript of Cynocephalus volans (Philippine flying lemur), 5442 nucleotides long. It is a transcript of the gene named tRNA-splicing endonuclease subunit Sen15-like, with no coding region annotated. Lineage: Eukaryota; Metazoa; Chordata; Mammalia; Dermoptera; Cynocephalidae. The record is from RefSeq and is a predicted model, not a curated record. The transcript is spliced from 10 exons.